GAUGAACGCUGGCGGCGUGCCUAAUACAUGCAAGUCGAGCGAACAGACGAGGAGCUUGCUCCUCUGACGUUAGCGGCGGACGGGUGAGUAACACGUGGAUAACCUACCUAUAAGACUGGGAUAACUUCGGGAAACCGGAGCUAAUACCGGAUAAUAUAUUGAACCGCAUGGUUCAAUAGUGAAAGACGGUUUUGCUGUCACUUAUAGAUGGAUCCGCGCCGCAUUAGCUAGUUGGUAAGGUAACGGCUUACCAAGGCAACGAUGAGUAGCCGACCUGAGAGGGUGAUCGGCCACACUGGAACUGAGACACGGGCCAAACUCCUACGGGAGGCAGCAGUAGGGAAUCUGCCGCAAUGGGCGAAAGCCUGACGGAGCAACGCCACGGGAGUGAUGAAAGUCUUCGGAUCGUAAAGCUCUGUUAUUAGGGAAGAACAAAUGUGUAAGUAACUAUGCACGUCUGGACGGUACCUAAGCAGAAAGCCACGGCUAACUACGU
Molecule: ribosomal RNA, 496 nt
Filed under: uncultured bacterium
Lineage: Bacteria
Description: partial 16S ribosomal RNA
Rfam family: Bacterial small subunit ribosomal RNA
Source: RNAcentral